ACGCUCGACACCUACGAGAGGCAGCAGUGGGGAAUAUUGCACAAUGGGGGGAACCCUGAUGCAGCGACGCCGCGUGAGGGAAGAAGGUUUUCGGAUUGUAAACCUCUGUCCUUGGUGACGAUAAUGACGGUAGCCAAGGAGGAAGCCACGGCUAACUACGUGCCAACAGCCGCGGUAAUCUGAGCGGGCUGGCAAGGC
RNAcentral lists this ribosomal RNA (198 nucleotides) under uncultured bacterium. RNAcentral's name for it is "partial 16S ribosomal RNA". It matches the Rfam family "Bacterial small subunit ribosomal RNA", at positions 328 to 539 of the family's 1533-position model. The record is from RNAcentral.